Small nuclear RNA from Nycticebus coucang (slow loris), 104 nucleotides. The record is from RefSeq and is a predicted model, not a curated record. Lineage: Eukaryota; Metazoa; Chordata; Mammalia; Primates; Lorisidae.
AUGUUCAGUUCAGUAGCAUAUAUACUAAAAUUGGAACCAUACAGAGAUUAGCAUGACCCCUGCUCAAAGAUGACAUCAAAAUUCAUGAAGUAUUCUAUAUAAAG